GGCUGGCCUGUGGAACAAGUGACCAAAAAUAAUAUAGUUUUAUUACAUGGUACUUUUUAUGGUUAUAAUUAGUACACUUUUUUAUAAUAGGAGAAGGAAGUAUAGGAUCUUGGACCAAGGAAACAGACAGGACCACUUGUUCAAGAAGGAGAGAAUUUUAAAUACGCCUGGAAGAAGAAACGACUGCUAUGCAGUACUAAAUAAAGCUAGGGUAUCCCGCUCUCUCCCGCCUGUUUGAACAUCAGCCCAGGUCACAGGAGUACCAGGAGGAAGGGCAGACCGCUGCAUCAUCUGAUAAGCGAAGUCCUACUCUGCAGGAGUUAAGUAAGUGGCCGGGUCGGAAGACCAAAACCUGAUUGCAGGGUGGAUCUCCCUGCUUGUCCUUUUCAGAGUGGAGGGAGAGAGGAGGAGCCCCCUGGAGGCAUAUUGUGGACCUAGAGAGAUCUAGCUGGCAACCGGGAAAUAGUUGCAAUUUAAACCCCAGGAUUAGGGGGUUUUGUAUCAAGUUCAAAAUGAGUAAAGGGGAGCUAAAUUGGACUGCAGGAAUCUGGACACUGGAGGCCGUGGAAGGCCAGGUGAUUAUACAGCUGUAUCGUGGAUAUACACUUUCGCUUUUCAAGUAUAUGGUUCAGGACAUUGGAGGACUUAAUAAUCUGGUUCAGUUGGAACUGUAAUACUUACCUUGCUGCUGAAAAUCUGUGCACUUUAGUGUAGGCUUGUACUGUGUUGUUAAGGGUUUAUAACAUGUUUAGGAUAUUCAUUGAUAGAUGCUGUAUAGUGGUGAUAUAUUUGAUCCUUUUUAUUGUGCAUGAUUUUACUGUUAACUGCAUUUAUCAUUGUCAUAAAGUAAGUUUUACUUACUGGUC
Long non-coding RNA from Acipenser ruthenus (sterlet), 866 nucleotides. RefSeq lists it as uncharacterized. The transcript is spliced from 2 exons. The record is from RefSeq and is a predicted model, not a curated record. NCBI's taxonomy places the organism in Eukaryota, Metazoa, Chordata, Actinopteri, Acipenseriformes, Acipenseridae.